RNAcentral lists this small nuclear RNA (22 nucleotides) under Arabidopsis thaliana (thale cress). Its description in RNAcentral is "snRNA_17190". The record is from RNAcentral. Lineage: Eukaryota; Viridiplantae; Streptophyta; Magnoliopsida; Brassicales; Brassicaceae.
GCCGUUUUAGUGGGUAAAAAUA